CCCCUGUCAGAGUCGCACCUGGAGAGUUUCCAGUACUCUACCAGUCUCGGCUGUGGGAGGGAGAGUCAAGCAGAGGCCUAUACCCAUUCCAUUCCUAGCUUGGGCAGUGGUUAGCGAGUAGAAGGCAAUCUACUACAAGC
RNAcentral lists this small nucleolar RNA (140 nucleotides) under Ornithorhynchus anatinus (platypus). Lineage: Eukaryota; Metazoa; Chordata; Mammalia; Monotremata; Ornithorhynchidae. The record is from RNAcentral.